AAAUUGAAGAGUUUGAUCAUGGCUCAGAUUGAACGCUGGCGGCAGGCCUAACACAUGCAAGUCGAACGGUAACAGGAAGCAGCUUGCUGCUUUGCUGACGAGUGGCGGACGGGUGAGUAAUGUCUGGGAAACUGCCUGAUGGAGGGGGAUAACUACUGGAAACGGUGGCUAAUACCGCAUAACGUCGCAAGACCAAAGAGGGGGACCUUCGGGCCUCUUGCCAUCAGAUGUGCCCAGAUGGGAUUAGCUUGUUGGUGAGGUAACGGCUCACCAAGGCGACGAUCCCUAGCUGGUCUGAGAGGAUGACCAGCCACACUGGAACUGAGACACGGUCCAGACUCCUACGGGAGGCAGCAGUGGGGAAUAUUGCACAAUGGGCGCAAG
This 384-nucleotide ribosomal RNA is filed under the name Salmonella enterica. RNAcentral describes it as "bacterial SSU rRNA". It matches the Rfam family "Bacterial small subunit ribosomal RNA", at positions 1 to 381 of the family's 1533-position model. RNAcentral also lists the same sequence under 1 other name. Lineage: Bacteria; Pseudomonadati; Pseudomonadota; Gammaproteobacteria; Enterobacterales; Enterobacteriaceae. The record is from RNAcentral.